This 351-nucleotide ribosomal RNA is filed under the name uncultured bacterium. Its description in RNAcentral is "bacterial SSU rRNA". It matches the Rfam family "Bacterial small subunit ribosomal RNA", at positions 8 to 350 of the family's 1533-position model. The record is from RNAcentral.
AGAGUUUGAUCCUGGCUCAGGAUGAACGCUAGCUACAGGCUUAACACAUGCAAGUCGAGGGGCAUCAGUUUGGUUUGCUUGCAAACCAAAGCUGGCGACCGGCGCACGGGUGAGUAACACGUAUCCAACCUGCCUCAUACUCGGGGAUAGCCUUUCGAAAGAAAGAUUAAUAUCCGAUAGCAUAUAUUUCCCGCAUGGGUUUUAUAUUAAGAAAUUCGGUAUGAGAUGGGAUGCGUUCCAUUAGUUGUUGGCGGGGUAACGGCCCACCAAGACUACGAUGGAUAGGGGUUCUGAGAGGAAGGUCCCCCACAUUGGAACUGAGACACGGUUCCAAACUCCCUACGGGAGGCA